Molecule: ribosomal RNA, 429 nt
Filed under: Acidobacteriota bacterium
Lineage: Bacteria; Pseudomonadati; Acidobacteriota
Description: Acidobacteria bacterium partial 16S ribosomal RNA
Rfam family: Bacterial small subunit ribosomal RNA
Source: RNAcentral
UGGGGAAUUUUGGACAAUGGGGGAAACCCUGAUCCAGCCAUCCCGCGUGUGCGAUGAAGGCCUUCGGGCUGUAAAGCACUUUUGGCAGGAAAGAAACGUCAUGGGUUAAUACCCCGUGAAACUGACGGUACCUGCAGAAUAAGCACCGGCUAACUACGUGCCAGCAGCCGCGGUAAUACGUAGGGUGCAAGCGUUAAUCGGAAUUACUGGGCGUAAAGCGUGCGCAGGCGGUUCGGAAAGAAAGAUGUGAAAUCCCAGAGCUCAACUUUGGAACUGCAUUUUUAACUACCGGGCUAGAGUGUGUCAGAGGGAGGUGGAAUUCCGCGUGUAGCAGUGAAAUGCGUAGAUAUGCGGAGGAACACCGAUGGCGAAGGCAGCCUCCUGGGAUAACACUGACGCUCAUGCACGAAGGCGUGGGGAGCAAACAGG